GAAAGGGACAGAGAGCUAAGACUGAGUGACUGAAAAAGAGAGUCAAAAGAAUGGGAUAGAGGUGAGAUGCUGCCCUUCUUGCAUAAUGUGUACAGCUCCAUCAAAUCUUAUCUUCACUCCAGAGUAAACCAUGAAUAUGGCAAGAUCAUACAGACAGGUGGAGUCCGGUUGUCCUAGGCUGAACAACACACAACAAAACCUGUCCUCUUUUGGAGCUUGAUCUGUGACCUUCAGGAUCAGUGACCAGAUCCUUGCAAGUCUUACUCACGUGAGAUAUCCUGUCUCAUACAGGUUUUCCUACUGAAGUCGAAUAGACUACUUAGUUUUAAAAAGGCAGAAAUUUCUCUGAUGAAGCGUAUUCUGGCAAUCCACACUUGCCACCAGUAGGGAACACAAGAUUGAAGUAAG
Molecule: long non-coding RNA, 408 nt
Organism: Trachemys scripta elegans
Lineage: Eukaryota; Metazoa; Chordata; Testudines; Emydidae
Exons: 3
Source: RefSeq, a predicted model, not a curated record